This is a long non-coding RNA of Chenopodium quinoa (quinoa), 446 nucleotides long. RefSeq lists it as uncharacterized. The transcript is spliced from 2 exons. NCBI's taxonomy places the organism in Eukaryota, Viridiplantae, Streptophyta, Magnoliopsida, Caryophyllales, Amaranthaceae. The record is from RefSeq and is a predicted model, not a curated record.
UUAGUCCAACUUUUGGGAAAGGAACCCAUAGCCCAUUAGGGUUUUAGCUCUCCAGCCGUCACCCCUCUUUUAUCCUCUCUUCUCUUAUCAUUUCCACUCUCUCUCUCUCCUCUCUCUCUCUCUUGCUCACUCAAUCUCUAUACUUCUCAUGCGCCAUGACCACUAUUUCUACUUCCACAUACUUCUCUCAUCUCAACCAUUAUUUUGACGGUGGAGCAUAUAAUAUCUACACAAGGGAGCUUAAGAAUCAACAUAUCAGACCAAAAAAUGUUAAGAUUUUUAAACAUUGACGAGUUUCAACAGGACAAUUUCUAGCAAAUCUGAAAAUUUGUGGAAGAUCUAAAUUAUUCAAUACUAAUUUAGACAAAACUUGAUAGUCUUAAUCUAAAGAUGUAAACUUGCGACAUUAUAUGAGAAAUUUGAUAUAUUUUGAAGUAUAAUGAACA